This 100-nucleotide small RNA is filed under the name Pan troglodytes (chimpanzee). RNAcentral describes it as "processed transcript". Lineage: Eukaryota; Metazoa; Chordata; Mammalia; Primates; Hominidae. The record is from RNAcentral.
GCCAGCACCACCUGAGGAUCCGGAAACCGCCCCAGCGAUGGAAGAGGAUCAGGAGCUGGAGAGACUGCUCCUAAAGCCACUCUGUGCGCUGAGCUCUUUU